This is a long non-coding RNA of Cavia porcellus (domestic guinea pig), 896 nucleotides long. RefSeq lists it as uncharacterized. The record is from RefSeq and is a predicted model, not a curated record. Lineage: Eukaryota; Metazoa; Chordata; Mammalia; Rodentia; Caviidae. The transcript has 4 exons.
CUUCCUUCUCUCUCUGUCUCCUUACUGCCAUGGGUUGAACCCCUGUUCCUUGGCCACAUUCAUCUGCCAUCCUUUUUCUGACCUGAAGCCAGCCACCUGUGGACUAAAACUUUGAGUCAAAACAAACCUCUAAAUUGAAUGUGGGUGACUGUCUCCCAACAGCAAGGGUUGUGGAGGAGAUCUCAUCUAUAGAGGAAGAAUUAAAAAAAAAAAAAAAAAACAGAGAAGCCUCUCACUUCAAAUGAGAUUAUGGAGCCUUGGUUUGAGGUCACCAAAAGGUUCCUUCCUGUGGGCCACUGGCAUGGACAGAGAGAGCUAGAAGACCUGCCUCCACCUGUGAGCUGCAGAUAGUAGAAGAUUUGCUUCCUGCUAACAGCCAGUGGAAACAGGAACACACAGCCAGAGAGAGACCAGGAAGAUACUGACUCUCCCCCGUUCUACCUGAUUCCCGCCGACACCUCAGGCAGCUCAUCCUGAGAAAGACACAGCAGUUUGAAAGGUGGGAUCACAGAGGCAUAAACUCAAAUUAGUGCCAUAUGUUGAAGAGCCUUUGUUAUUUAUGCCUGAACCAGAUGCUUCUAUCCCCUACAUUAUAUUUGCAAUCAAUCAUUUUUAAGUUCUUUUUCCUGAUGCAAUGCCAAUUUAAUGAAAGAAUUGUGCUUCAUGUUUUUUUUUUUCCUUCAUGACUACUCUCAUGACCAAAUAACCUCACUAUUUCAUGUCAGAAAAGUUCCCCUUGGAAUUAAUUACUUUGAAAUCAAAGCAUUCCAGGGCUCACAACUCUUUUAAAAACAUCAUUGGCAUUUCUUCUCAACAGAUUAUCUUCCAUAAUUGAAUGCAAUUUUUAUGUGAUGUCACAGGGAAGAGCACGGCAAUAAAAAUAUAUGGUAAACUAA